AAAGAGGGGUGUUUUGCUUCCAAAAGAGGCAUCUGUCCAUAUUGUUUUUGCUUUGCUUUCGUCUUUCUUAGCCCCUUUUCUCCCGUCAACGCCUAUUCUUCCACAAUUCUCCUCGAUCUUUGUCUUGAUUGCGGUUUACGGCCAUGGCCACCAGCGGAAACAAGAACAUUAAUGCCAAAUUAGUGCUUCUUGGUGAUGUUGGUGCUGGGAAGUCUAGUCUAGUGUUGCGUUUUGUUAAAGGGCAAUUUGUAGAGUUUCAGGAAUCAACGAUUGGUGCUGCAUUUUUCUCUCAAACAUUGGCUGUAAAUGAUGCCACUGUGAAAUUUGAAAUCUGGGAUACAGCUGGGCAGGAGAGAUACCACAGUUUGGCUCCAAUGUAUUACAGGGGUGCAGCUGCAGCUAUUA
RNAcentral lists this unclassified non-coding RNA (405 nucleotides) under Hevea brasiliensis (rubber tree). The record is from RNAcentral. Lineage: Eukaryota; Viridiplantae; Streptophyta; Magnoliopsida; Malpighiales; Euphorbiaceae.